Molecule: ribosomal RNA, 301 nt
Filed under: uncultured bacterium
Lineage: Bacteria
Description: partial 16S ribosomal RNA
Rfam family: Bacterial small subunit ribosomal RNA
Source: RNAcentral
CAGCCGCCGCGGGAAUACAGAGGGUGCGAGCGUUAAUCGGAAUUGCUGGGCGUAAAGCGCGCGUAGGUGGUUCGCCAAGUUGGAUGUGAAAUCCCCGGGCUCAACCUGGGAACUGCAUCCAAAACUGGCGAGCUAGAGUAUGGUAGAGGGUGGUGGAAUUUCCUGUGUAGCGGUGAAAUGCGUAGAUAUAGGAAGGAACAUCAGUGGCGAAGGCGACCACCUGGACUGAUACUGACACUGAGGUGCGAAAGCGUGGGGAGCAAACAGGAUUAGAUACCCGUGUAGUCCCUGUCUCUUAUAC